Molecule: long non-coding RNA, 568 nt
Filed under: Vigna radiata
Lineage: Eukaryota; Viridiplantae; Streptophyta; Magnoliopsida; Fabales; Fabaceae
Description: long non-coding RNA (VRAD_LNC013077)
Source: RNAcentral
UCAAAAUUCGCCAAUAAAUCAAAUUACCAAUGAUUUACUAAUGGUAAAAAUUUUAUUAAUAAAAUAUUCAUUAAUAUAUUUAAUGGUCAAUAAAAAAUAUGUUAAUAAUUAUUGAUAACCAAAAUAAUUUGGUGAUUACUAACAAAAAAAGUUGUUGAUAAAUAUCCAUUGAUAAGGGAUGAAUUUUUUCCAUCAAUAAAUUUGUUGUAAAUAUCGUAAUUUGGUUUUUCUUUUUAUUCUUUUCUUUUUUUUUUCUUUUUUUUUUCUUUAUCUUUUUCCUCCUCUCAUACAUUUCUUUUUUUAACAACAUCAUUAAUCCGACGUUGUCGUCGUCAUUUCUAGUUCUCGUGUCUUCUUCUUUCUUCUUUUUCUUCUCAUCAUCCUCUUUGUAUUGUUGUUGUCACUUUGAUUGCCUUAGACUCCUCUCUAUCUCCUCCUCCUCCCUCUUCUUCUCCUUCUUCUUCUCUUCCUUCUUCUACAUUUUUUUUCCACAUCUCUAAUUAAUUUAUAAAAAUAUUUCAUCACAUUAGAACCAAAAUUUGACACACGAACUUUUUGCUAGUAACCA